GCACUAGGUGUGGGGGACAUUCCACGUUUUCCGCGCCGUAGCUAACGCAUUAAGUGCCCCGCCUGGGGAGUACGGCCGCAAGGCUAAAACUCAAAGGAAUUGACGGGGGCCCGCACAAGCGGCGGAGCAUGCGGAUUAAUUCGAUGCAACGCGAAGAACCUUACCAAGGCUUGACAUACACCGGACCGGUUCAGAGAUGUUCCUUCCCCCUUGUGGGGCUGGUGUACAGGUGGUGCAUGGCUGUCGUCAG
RNAcentral lists this ribosomal RNA (250 nucleotides) under uncultured bacterium. RNAcentral's name for it is "partial 16S ribosomal RNA". It matches the Rfam family "Bacterial small subunit ribosomal RNA", at positions 813 to 1058 of the family's 1533-position model. The record is from RNAcentral.